Molecule: transfer RNA, 70 nt
Filed under: Phytophthora fragariae
Lineage: Eukaryota; Oomycota; Peronosporomycetes; Peronosporales; Peronosporaceae
Also listed under: 3 other names
Rfam family: tRNA
About the family: Transfer RNA (tRNA) molecules are approximately 80 nucleotides in length.
Source: Rfam by way of RNAcentral
AACACCGUAGCUCAAUGGAAGAGCGCAGGGCCUCCACCCUGAGAUGCCCGUUCAAUUCGGGUCGGUGUUA